This 253-nucleotide ribosomal RNA is filed under the name uncultured bacterium. RNAcentral describes it as "partial 16S ribosomal RNA". It matches the Rfam family "Bacterial small subunit ribosomal RNA", at positions 524 to 776 of the family's 1533-position model. The record is from RNAcentral.
UACAGAGGGUGCGAGCGUUAAUCGGAAUUACUGGGCGUAAAGGGUGCGUAGGUGGUUAGAUAAGUUGGAUGUGAAAUACCUGGGCUCAACCUGGGAACGGCAUACAAUACUGUCUAGCUAGAGUCAUGUAGAGGAAGGCGGAAUUUCCGGUGUAGCGGUGAAAUGCGUAGAUAUCGGAAGGAACACCAGUGGCGAAGGCGGCCUUCUGGACAAUGACUGACACUGAGGCACGAAAGCAUGGGGAGCAAACAGG